This 254-nucleotide ribosomal RNA is filed under the name uncultured bacterium. RNAcentral describes it as "partial 16S ribosomal RNA". It matches the Rfam family "Bacterial small subunit ribosomal RNA", at positions 524 to 776 of the family's 1533-position model. The record is from RNAcentral.
GACGGAGGGUGCUAGCGUUGUUCGGAAUCACUGGGCGUAAAGGGCGCGUAGGCGGCCUUGCAAGUCGGUUGGUGAAAGCCCGGGGCUCAACCCCGGAGGUGCGGCCGAGACUGCAGGGCUGGAGGCCGGAAGAGGAGGGUGGAAUACCCAGUGUAGAGGUGAAAUUCGUAGAUAUUGGGUGGAACACCGGUGGCGAAGGCGGCGCUCUGGGCCGGUACUGACGCUGAGGAGCGAAAGCGUGGGUAGCAAACAGG